UGAGCAAUCUGCCCUUCUCAUCGGAAUAAGCGUUGGAAACGACGUCUAAUGCCGAAUACGACCUCCUUUCGCAUGAUCGGAGGUGGAAAGCUCCGGCGGAGAAGGA
Molecule: ribosomal RNA, 106 nt
Filed under: uncultured bacterium
Lineage: Bacteria
Description: partial 16S ribosomal RNA
Source: RNAcentral